AGCUAAUACUUGCUUUAGCACUCUUGAUUAAGUUCUUGAGUGUGUACUUGUUAAGCCUUUUAAGAAAAAAGUUAUUAACUUAAGGAAUUAUAACAAAGAAGUAACACGUAAUGGAUCCGUCCAUUUUUAGUGUGUAUCAAUCGAGUUUCUGACCUAUCAGCUUUUGAUGUUAGGGUAUUGGCCUAACAUGGCUAUGACGGGUAACGGGGAAUUAGAGUUCGAUUCCGGAGAGGGAGCCUGAGAAAUAGCUACCACAUCUAAGGAAGGCAGCAGGCGCGUAAAUUACCCAAUUCUAAAGAAGAGAGGUAGUGACAAGAAAUAACAAUACAAGGCCAAUCUGGCUUUGUAAUUGGAAUGAUGGGAAUUUAAAACCUUCCCAAAACUCAAUUGGAGGGCAAGUCUGGUGCCAGCAGCCGCGGUAAUUCCAGCUCCAAUAGCGUAUAUUAAAAUUGUUGCAGUUAAAACGCUCGUAGUUGAAUUUCAAAGAAUCGAUAUUUUAAGUAACGCUUUUAGCUUAAUCCACAUAACUGAUACUACGUAUCGACUUUGUGCGCAUUUUGCUAUUAUGUGUUCUUUUAAUUAAAAUGAUUCUUUUUAAGGUCUUUCUCUUGCUUCGGCAUUUGAAGAUCUUGUUACUUUGAGUAAAUUAGAGUGUUCAAAGCAAACAGAUAUAGCAUUGCGCGUUUGAAUACUACAGCAUGGAAUAACAAAAUUGAACAAGUCAGAAUUUUGUUCUUUUUUCUUAUUUUGGCUUAGUUACGAUUAAUAGGAGUAGCUUGGGGGCAUUUGUAUUCAGAUGUCAGAGGUGAAAUUCUUAGAUUUUCUGGAGACAAACAACUGCGAAAGCAUUUGCCUAAAAUACUUCCAUUAAUCAAGAACGAAAGUUAAGGGAGUGAAGACGAUCAGAUACCGUCGUAAUCUUAACCAUAAACUAUGCCGACCAGGCUUUGGAUGAAAGAUUUUAAAAUAAGAGUUUUUUCUCUGAGGAGUUAAAACUCUUAGAUUGCUUCCUUCAGUGCCUUAUGAGAAAUCAAAGUCUUUGGGUUCUGGGGCGAGUAUUCGCGCAAGCGAGAAAGUUAAAAGAAUUGACGGAAGGGCACCACCAGGCGUGGAGCUUGCGGCUUAAUUUGACUCAACACGGGAAAACUCACUAGUUUAAGACAAGAGUAGGAUUGACAGAUUAAUAGCUCUUUCUUGAUUUCUUGGAUGGUGAUGCAUGGCCGUUUUUAGUUCGUGAAUAUGAUUUGUCUGGUUAAUUCCGAUAACGAACGAGAUCUUAACCUGCUAAUUAGCGGCAAAUACGAUAUAUUCUUAUGUGGAAUUGAAUACGGUUGAUUUGCUUAUUUUGAAGAAAAUAUUGGGAUGCGUAAAGUGUCCCUUUCCCUUUUCUACUUAAUUCGCUUAUCAUACUGUUUCUUUUUUGCGUAAGAAUGUAUUUGCUUGAUUGUAAAGCUUCUUAGAGGAACGAUGUGUGUCUAACACAAG
This 1485-nucleotide ribosomal RNA is filed under the name Plasmodium sp. RNAcentral describes it as "SSU rRNA". It matches the Rfam family "Eukaryotic small subunit ribosomal RNA", at positions 162 to 1439 of the family's 1831-position model. The record is from RNAcentral. Lineage: Eukaryota; Apicomplexa; Aconoidasida; Haemosporida; Plasmodiidae.